CAGCAGAAGAACCAGAUAUAACGACUUGGUAUGAUUGGACCCUCUACUCUACUAUGUUGAACAUCAUCAUUUAUCACAGCAAACAUGGAAAAUGUGCGAAACUUCACAUAUUCAAGAGUAAUCAAGGGACCAUCUUGUUUGGAGCCAUGUGUUUGGAAUUACCCAUGGAGACCAGUGAUCUUACCUGUUUAAUAUACAAUUGAAG
Molecule: long non-coding RNA, 205 nt
Organism: Mastomys coucha (southern multimammate mouse)
Lineage: Eukaryota; Metazoa; Chordata; Mammalia; Rodentia; Muridae
Exons: 2
Source: RefSeq, a predicted model, not a curated record